Rattus norvegicus (Norway rat) is the source of this 5224-nucleotide non-coding RNA. NCBI's taxonomy places the organism in Eukaryota, Metazoa, Chordata, Mammalia, Rodentia, Muridae. The record is from RefSeq and is a predicted model, not a curated record.
AAGUGGAGUGGGGAUGAAGCCCCUGAGCUCUUCAGCUUGUCUGGAAAUACCCUCUCUUGGGAGCUGCAACACCUCUACUGAGGAUGUUUCCUCUUAGAGCUGGGCCGUUUCUGGACUUCCAUGUCUCAUGGGCUCCUUGUCUCAGGACGCCCUUCCAUUGGGACAUUGUCCCACCUCAGAGAUGUGGUUCCUGGGCUCCGAGUCCCAGGAUACCAUCUCAUCCUAGCAGGAACACCAACAGCUAUGACCUAUGGAAGCACAAAGCUUCCUAAGUCUAUUAUUAUAUUCAUUAUUAUUGAUCAUUACUAUUAAUAAUAAAGGAUCCUUUUCAAGAGUUGAUUGCAGUAUAUCCUGCUCUAUCUCAUGUGUUUGAACCCCUUUUCCCCUUGGGCAGCACUGUCUUGAGAAGUCAGGGAGCCCUUGUACUUGUGGCCUGGCUGGAGGCAAUGGGUCCUUAGGAGACCAGGGAGAUUGUCAAUGCAGUGAAACAAGUUGCCUCAACACCUGUGCCAGUGCCAGCAGGUGAGCCCACUAACAGGGUAUGCCUGAUCUUCUGAAAGCCUGACCCAAAAUAACCUCUCUCUUUCUUAAAUAGUUUAAAGGUAUGGAUUUGGGAGAAUCCAUAAAAAGAGCUAAAAAAUGAUAAUGGUUUUGGCCAGCUGUGAUUGGCCUGUGGUUCCUGUGAGCUCACAAGGAGUCAUUGUGAGCAAUGAUAGUAACCUACCUAUAUGAGGCACUGGUUGGCCCUGCAUCUUGUCCAUAUACUGAAGAGAUGCUGUUGCAGUUGGACUCAGACUUUGUUCUGAGAGUUUUAUUUUUUAUUGUCCAUCUUUGGAACUGGACAUUUGUGAUCUUCACUGACCUGAACAUUGUGAGUUUGUUUUCUUGUGGACUGUUUUUUUGUGCCUGGAUUUUGAUUUACUCUUUAUUGCCUUGGAUCUAGUUUGUGCAUGUGCUUUAGUUUAUUUCUAUACUAUCAGUCAUUUUCUAUUAUUACCUAUUAAUUUAUCUUUGACAUUUUGUACAUUGGUUUAUUUCUUUACUUAUAAUAGCUGUGAAAAAUAAUUUAAUUAACCAAUGCUCUUGGAUCAUAUCCAUCUGCUUUGUUACUUCACCAGCCUUUCCCUGUGGUUAGAAAUUACCCUAUCAUGGUAAAAGUAUUUCCCAGCCGCCAAGACACUCAUGAGACAAAACAUGCCCUGGGGGAUCUUGAGGGAUAGCACAUUUUGUCAUGACGUCAUGGUGUCACGGACAGGCUACUGAGAGGCCAAAUCUACUUCAUCUUGGAACUGGCCUCCAUCCUAAAAGAAAAGAAAACUGAGACCUUGACCUGCAACUGAAGCCAAGCUACACUCAAGUACCAGGAAGGACCUCACAGUUUGUCCUUGACCCAUACCUCAGAGUUUCUCCCUACUUCCUAGGAACAGUGAAUCAAAGAUUAGUCUGAUUGUUUCAAAUGUACUUUCAGACUGUUUGUGACCGUUCAUGGUCCUACUUCAAAACACCCACCAGUUGGCUCACAAUAGUCAUCUUGUUAGGUACUGGCCAGGCUGGAUGUCCCCUCGCUGCUACCAUUUCCUAUAUAACCUUGUCCUGCUGAGGGUUCAAGGCUACUCUGCUUUCGAGUCCUGUGUGUCAAGGCUGGGUUGGAGAAGAGUCCCAAGCUUGAGCUUGUAAUAAGGAGUCCCUAGUUCAGUUGCAUUGGAAAAGAGUUCAUUGCUCCUUGGUGGUCUUUUGGGGUUCAUGAACACUUCCUAGCACAACAGCUACCAGCAUUUUGAUGCCUACAAAUAUGAGUUUAAGAGAAAGAAAUUGAGUAUUACAAAGUCUGCAGUAACUAGUCAUUAGAGAAUAUGCAGGUCUUAGAGAAAAGUAUCUCAGAGAAGCCUGUGUGUUCAAUUUCUAUCUAGUUAAUAACCAAGUCUCUAACCCAGGUCAGCCCAAAGCUGACAGUCCAUUCUUGUCACUGCUGCUCUUAUUAAAGUCAAAAUGUCCUUCUUAAGGUUUGAAUGUGAGAAGUUUCAUAGCAACUCAUGUAUUUGAAUUCUUGGUCUCUAGCAGAAGGUUUGGAAGGUUGUGAAAUAACAGGGUGGUGGAACCUAGCAAGAAGAAUUGGGUCACUAGAGGCAAUGUAACCUGCCAAGGCCACAUAAGCAGCUGCUCCAGACCCAUCAUCUCAAGUCUCCAUCCAUGGCUUCCCUGAGCCAAAGCAAAACCUGUGUAAUAUGUGCUGCUUCUUCUCAGGGAUUUGGCAAUGAGAAAAAUAAGGCAGUACUGGAGAUAGAAAGUGAUUAAAUUAUUUUUUGGUUGUGAACUACCAUAAUUGGUUCAUUUCUUGCUAUGAUCUCACUGGAACCAUUGUGAAGAGUUGCAGACCCCACCCAUUUAUGGCACUGGCUGGGCUUGGGUCUUCUCAUAAUUCUCACAGGAGGGAAGCUGUUGGCUGUAGAACAGUUGGACUCGGACAUUGGUUCUCAUAGACUUCAAUAUCAUUGAUCUCUUGGAAACAGACAUUUUGAUCUGGUUUGACCUCCAAAGACUUGAGGAACAUUGGUCUCCAUUACAUUGUAUAGCCAGUAGAGAAGACCCAUCCUGCAAUCUCCUGGUCCUGGUCUGUACUUAUUAGGAAAGACUGUACUACUCUUUCUAUUUUGUUCCUAUACUGUUCUCUUCACAUAUGUUCUAACACCCUGAAUUUAUCAUCAAAACUGUGGUGGAGCAGGGGGAAGGUAACAGGUAGUGGGCAUGCUUGAUAAUCAACCCUUUUAUCAAUGCUGUGUGUGUUUUGUGAAUUGAGAAUGAGUAUGAGUUUGUCUUGAUCCUGUACAAACCCAGGAAGAAACCUUACUUGUUUAUUCUGUUUCCCAUGUCAAUAACUUGUUUUUUCCCUGGGUGAUUCAGGACAAGCUUUUUUCAGAUUUGUUUAUCCUUUCAAAUGAUCAGCUCUUUGUUUCUUUGAUCUUUGUUUCAACUUAUAAGGGUCCACUUAUUUCCAGGUUCUUCUUGUGUUAGGGAAGAUAGCUCACUAGACCAAGUGCUCUAAACACAUGUAAGUGCUCUAGAACACACAUACAAUAAGAAUUUAUUUAGUACCACUGCUGGGCAGUGCAGGAAGAAGAGUGACAGUCCAACAACAUCAGGGUUGAACAUGAGCAAGACUGGGGAAGCAUAGCAUUUACAUGGAGAAGCAUAUAGAGUACAAGUGGGUUGGAGAAAUUUAUAAAAAUAUUUAAUUCAAUUUAUAAGCCUUUCUGUGUGGAAAUAAAGGAGAAAGAGACUAAGAAAUUAAGAGACAUAUUCAUUUUGCAGGCAUCUAUUGAGGAACGACAGUGUCAGGCAUGGGUAUUGGAGAAAAUGCCCUUGAGGAACUUGGUUGUAGCAGUAGGUAAAUACAUAGUAUAGAGUGCCAACUCUGUGACAGUCCAGGGACGAAGAGGACCAUCUCUGAAAUGUCUUGGAAUGCGGGUUGGAAUAAAUUAUAGCUACAUGAGGACCUGGGAAACAAGGAUUUAGUCAGGAGAAAGGAGCAGGAUACCUCAGACAGAAGAACUACUUGAGUGAAGUCUUAGAGGUUAGAGAGAAAGAAGAUGGUAAGUUCUAUAGAUGGUAGCUAGAAUAGAGCACACUGUGGAAAAUCAAGGAGUGAUGGUUGGGCUACACAGGUAAGACCCAGGCCAGCCAGGACCACAGGGAUUCGAAGUGAUCUUCAAAACCAUCACAUACACAGCCUAGUCCAGAUUACUACUAAAUAGACUUGUCACUGUGUGUCACCAGAUCUCCUGGAGCUGGAAUUGUGGGCUGCUGAGAGCUGCAUUAAACAGGUGCUAGCAAAGAUUCCUUGCAUUCUUACUUCUAGAUGAACUUAUUCUCACAGUCUUGUUCUUUAGGUCUGGGAGCUUCGCAGGUUUAAACGCAAAACAUAUUUAUUCUCCUCUCUGAGAGUAUAAGUUCCUUAUAAAAGACUUUUCUGUCUAUCAUAUGCCUUUGCUGAUGUAUCUUAGCUAUUCAAAUGUCUUUAACAAUGGGUUAAUAGCAGUUGUCUUGGAUUCACCCUCAUCUCAGGGUUGAGGAUUUUGUGGUCCUCAUUAUUCUGAAGGCUUCUCAGUGUUUUAUGGAUCUAGGAAGAAAAGUCUUUCCUUCUCCAGAUUGUAAGUUCCUGGCUUAUGGAUCUUUCCUUUUUGUUUUUUCUUGUAUCUGCUUUUCUUCACUGUGAUAAAAUAUUGAAGAUAGGCAUAGAAUGAAUAUUUUGGCUCAAGAAUUUUGAAUUUAGAGGUUUUGGGUUGGGUCUGAGGUGAGGUAGAACAUUAGAACAAAGCUGUUUACCUCAUGGCAGCCAGAGAGCAGAGAGUGGAGAGAUGAGAAGAGGCCAGUUGUCUAAUAGUUCCUUCAAAGGCUUGUCCACUUGCUGAACUUUCUUCCAUGGGGGCCUUCAUUUUACUAUCUGUCAACAGCACUAUUGGCUGGGGACCAAGUGCUCAACAUAUAUACCUGUAGUCACUUUUCUGACUUUUUUUUUAAAAUAAAAAGCUUACUUUUUGACUAGCAUACAAAGUAAUACAUUUCCUUUUUGUACAUAAUUUUCUGUGAUCCUCCUGCUUUCCUCAGUUUUUUCCUGUUUCCUGGCCUGUAUCAUUCCACCCCUAACACCACCUUUGUACUUUCAUAUAACAUGUACCCAUUGCUUUCCUUGAAGCCUCUUUCCCCCUUUCUGAUCUCUCCCCACGACUCCCAAAUAUAUAAAAAUUUGAAACCAGGAUCCCCAUAUGACAGAGAACUUGUAGCUUUUAUCUUUCUGAGUUUGGGUUACCUAUUUUAAUAUAUUUUCUGGUUUCAUUCCUUUGCCAGAAAAUAUGACUUUUACCUAGCAAGCCUUUCACCCAAGUGGCCCUUGAACAUCGCAUUGUUCCUAGAAAUACCAUAAAGGGUGCUAAUUGCUCCUCUUCCAUAGCAGUCAACAGACAUUGCUCAUGACCAUCGGAUAUUCCACCGGGCCAGAGUUAUUUGCAGCCUUGGAACCCAAAAACAAACAAAUCAUUUUAAAAGUCAGCUUCCCCAUAAAUCUCUUACCAAAUCAUGUAAUGCCAAGGCUUGGAAACCCCAGCUAGCUGGGUUUUUUUCCUUUAAAAACCCCUUCCCCUAGACCUUGGGGUCACUCUCAUCCUGUUGCAUCAGGAACUUUUUGUGGCCCAGGCUCAAAUAAAGACUCUCAUGUGCUUGCAUUGGA